This 908-nucleotide ribosomal RNA is filed under the name uncultured bacterium. RNAcentral's name for it is "bacterial SSU rRNA". It matches the Rfam family "Bacterial small subunit ribosomal RNA", at positions 8 to 916 of the family's 1533-position model. The record is from RNAcentral.
AGAGUUUGAUCAUGGCUCAGGAUGAACGCUGGCGGCGUGCCUAACACAUGCAAGUCGAGCGGUAUAUAGUGGAAUGAAACUUCGGUCGAGUGAAGCUAUAGAGAGCGGCGGACGGGUGAGUAACGCGUAGGCAACCUGCCCCAUACAGAGGGAUAGCCUCGGGAAACCGGGAUUAAAACCUCAUAACGCGAGGAGUUCACAUGGACUACUCGCCAAAGAUUUAUCGGUAUGGGAUGGGCCUGCGUCUGAUUAGCUAGUUGGUGAGGUAACGGCUCACCAAGGCGACGAUCAGUAGCCGACCUGAGAGGGUAAUCGGCCACAUUGGAACUGAGACACGGUCCAAACUCCUACGGGGGGCAGCAGUGGGGAAUAUUGCACAAUGGGCGAAAGCCUGAUGCAGCAACGCCGCGUGAGCGAUGAAGGCCUUUGGGUCGUAAAGCUCUGUCCUUGGGGAAGAAACAAAUGACGGUACCCUUGGAGGAAGCCCCGGCUAACUACGUGCCAGCAGCCGCGGUAAUACGUAGGGGGCGAGCGUUAUCCGGAAUUAUUGGGCGUAAAGAGUGCGUAGGUGGCCAUGUAAGCGCGGGGUGAAAGGCAAUAGCUUAACUAUUGUAAGCCUUGCGAACUGUGUGGCUUGAGUGCAGGAGAGGAAAGUGGAAUUCCUAGUGUAGCGGUGAAAUGCGUAGAUAUUAGGAGGAACACCAGUGGCGAAGGCGACUUUCUGGACUGUAACUGACACUGAGGCACGAAAGCGUGGGGAGCAAACAGGAUUAGAUACCCUGGUAGUCCACGCCGUAAACGAUGAGCACUAGGUGUCGGGGUCGCAAGACUUCGGUGCCGCAGUUAACGCAUUAAGUGCUCCGCCUGGGGAGUACGCACGCAAGUGUGAAACUCAAAUGAAUUGACGG